This is a non-coding RNA of Caretta caretta (loggerhead turtle), 1053 nucleotides long. NCBI's taxonomy places the organism in Eukaryota, Metazoa, Chordata, Testudines, Cheloniidae. The record is from RefSeq and is a predicted model, not a curated record.
GAAGAAAAUCCUUUUGACUCUCUGGAAUCAUUGAGGGCUGUAACAAGUGGGGGAGAACCGAGUGCAGCACAGCCAGAGAGCUGUGUCAUGAAGAGGAUGCUGCGGUCCUGAGAGUCAUGUGGGUCCCCGUAGCAGAAGUGACGGCAGCAAGACACCACCAGAAGAGGACACAGAGCUAAUUCCCAAGACAGCCAGCAGGAGACGCUGCAGUGGUGCAGUAGAUACUCAAAUAUGUCUUGUAUGGACGAACAUGUGGGUGAGACUCCACACUGGGACACCCAAACAGAGAAUAGUUUCCACUUAAAGAGAUCCUGACAGCCAGCCAGGGCAGAAUACCAGAUGGCUUUUGAGGUCUGUAGGGCUUCCUUGAAAGGAGCAGGGAGAAGAAGAAGAAAGAAAAAAAAAAGAGGAAGAUUGGUUGAAGGCGCCCCUGCAAGAGAGUCACCCUCUAUCUACUUCCUAGUAGCUAGUUUCCAUAUUUCUUGUGAGAGUCUGUCCGUUUCUCUUUGAGCCUGAACCAACAGCCGGCGAGUCUCCAAAAGCUCCAAGUGAAUGUGCUGCAUCUGUUCUCGUUCUAGCCUCAACUGCUGACCUAAAUCUAAUGCUUCCUUGUACUGGUCUGCAAUGCACUUCUCCUGAUCUUUCACUGUCUGUAAUAGAUACAGACUAACACGGGUGCUACUCUGAAACCUGUUUUUGAAGGGAGAUUUUGAAGUCUAUUUAAGCCCAUGGGAGACCCCUCCAUUUUGUCUUCAGCUGGCAAAGGAGAUAGCCUCUCCACCCCCAAGGAUACCUGAAAGAAACUGGAACAAAAGAGAGUAACUACAGGGGGUGUGAGUGAUUGCUGGACCCGGACUAGAAGGAGAUUAGUCUGUAAAAGGAAGAUUACUGGAACUGGUGAGGUUUUGUCUGUAUUCAGUUUUAUUAGACAUAGACUUGUGGGUUUUAUUUUAUUUUAUUUUGCUUGGUAAUUCACUUCGUUCUGUUACUACUUAGAAACACUUAAAUCCUACUUUCCAUAUUUAAUAAAACUCAUUUUUUACUUAUAAUUAA